Molecule: long non-coding RNA, 527 nt
Organism: Drosophila pseudoobscura
Lineage: Eukaryota; Metazoa; Arthropoda; Insecta; Diptera; Drosophilidae
Exons: 2
Source: RefSeq, a predicted model, not a curated record
AGAACUGAGAAGACUCAUGUGAACUGGGAGUAUCUAAAAAUCAAUUUUAAAUUUCAUAUUGUUUGUAAUUUAUGUGAAUGGCAGGAGAGUUGAAAAUUUAAUAACGAUGAGGUUAUGAAAUCAGAAUCAUUAUGGAGUAUUAUCAUAUACAUACUUAAAACACAAAAACUGUUGGGCUACGCAGACGAAUAUUAAACAAUAAUCCAUAGAUUAUAGCCCGUGGUGCGUCAGUAAAGAUGGCGUCUUUUAUUGUUUGUUGUUUGCAAUGCCCAAACAGUGUACCACAUUGUAGUCUACAUAUCUAUAUGAAUCCGCACGGCAGCAGCCUAUGCAGCCGUUUUCUCGCGUAUUUCUUUCUUUAUUUCGUCUUCUCUACCGGCCCUUCUUGAAUCGAGCUAAUCAUUGAACAGAAUUGUCGUGCUCUCGUCGCAAACCGAACUCAAACCUUUCUCUAUCCCUUUCACUCUGUAUCACAGUAUAUAUGUAUAUUUACCAUCCUCCACAAUAAAUCGUAUUAAAUCGAACAA